GUGUUUUGCAUCUCCCCAUUACAACUCAUCCCUUCAACGAUUCGCCCGCCCUUCACUGCUCAAACCCUAGAGGCGGCCGAUUUGCAUCUCCAGCCUUCCACCACCGUCGGAAACUACUUGUCAACUUCUUAAUUCGAAAGCUUAAGGCCUGAAGCCUUCUAUUUUGGUGUUGAUCAAAUCCACAUUGAAAAAAGACAAAGUCCUUAAAGCAAUUUGAAGAAGACCUUCAUUUAGCGAUGGAGCAGAUGGUAAGUGUUCUCUACUCGUAUGUAUGGAGCAGAUGGAACAGUAUAAGGAGGGUGUGUGAUGAGAUACAUGAAAGAAAUAGUUGAAUGUGAAAUUCUACAGUUGGAGCAGAUGUUUGCAGGAACAAUCAAGAAUCAAUAUUACAACUAAUCUCAAUAUGAUGAAGUCAGAAGUGAAUGGAGCGAAUUCAUCUACUCGUAUAUAAAUUCCUAAAUGGGGCAUGUGCAUUGAGAUAAAUAAUUUAUUUUACAUUGUCGAUACACUUUUGGUUUUAUGGAUGUAUUGUUUAGUUAUACUUGUGGAUUGAUGGAUAAAUUUGUGGAUUUUUGUUUUUGAAUGGAUAAUUUAUUAAUCUAAUUAAUGCA
Long non-coding RNA from Zingiber officinale, 611 nucleotides. RefSeq lists it as uncharacterized. NCBI's taxonomy places the organism in Eukaryota, Viridiplantae, Streptophyta, Magnoliopsida, Zingiberales, Zingiberaceae. The transcript is spliced from 4 exons. The record is from RefSeq and is a predicted model, not a curated record.